UACGAAGGGGGCUAGCGUUGUUCGGAAUUACUGGGCGUAAAGCGCGCGCAGGCGGCUAUCCAAGUCAGUGGCGAAAGCCCGGAGCUCAACUCCGGAACUGCCAUUGAAACUGUUUAGCUUGAGGACGAGAGAGGUGAGUGGAAUUCCCAGUGUAGAGGUGAAAUUCGUAGAUAUUGGGAAGAACACCGGUGGCGAAGGCGGCUCACUGGCUCGUUUCUGACGCUCAGGCGCGAUAGCGUGGGGAUCAAACAGG
Molecule: ribosomal RNA, 253 nt
Filed under: uncultured bacterium
Lineage: Bacteria
Description: partial 16S ribosomal RNA
Rfam family: Bacterial small subunit ribosomal RNA
Source: RNAcentral